AGACACCCUCGGUGGCGCAGGCGCGCCGCGGGCUGAUGCGAUGGCGUUGCCGGGACCCGUGAACAGGUAUCUUCUGCUCAUGGCACAGGAACACCUGGAGUUCCGCCUGCCGGAAAUAAAGUCUCUGCUUUCACUUUUUGGAGGUCAGUUCACCAAUAGUCAGGAAACUUAUGGAAAGUCUCCUUUUUGGAUUCUUAGCAUUCCCUCUGAAGAUAUUGCCAGAAACUUAAUGAAACGGACAGUGUGUGCCAAGUCUAUAUUUGAACUGUGGGGUCAUGGAAAGUCUCCAGAGGAGCUAUAUAGUUCUUUGAGAAACUACCCUGUGGAGAAGAUGGUUCCAUUUCUGCAUUCAGAUUCUACAUAUAAAAUAAAGAUUCACACAUUUAAUAAAACGUUGACACAAGAAGAAAAAAUCAAACGGAUAGAUGCCCUUGAAUUUCUGCCAUUUGAAGGAAAAGUGAAUUUAAAGAAGCCACAACAUAUAUUCUCUAUUUUGGAGGAUUAUGGUUUGGACCCAAACUGCAUCCCUGAGAAUCCACAUAAUAUCUAUUUUGGUAGAUGGAUUGCAGAUGGGCAGAGAGAGCUUAUUGAGUCAUACAGUGUCAAAAAGAGACACUUUAUUGGAAAUACAAGCAUGGAUGCUGGUUUAUCAUUCAUCAUGGCCAACCAUGGAAAAGUGAAAGAAAAUGAUAUUGUAUUUGAUCCAUUUGUUGGAACAGGUGGCCUUCUGAUAGCAUCUGCUCAUUUUGGUGCAUAUGUAUAUGGGACAGACAUAGACUACAACACCGUUCAUGGCUUGGGAAAGGCUAGUAGGAAAAACCAGAAAUGGAGAGGACCAGAUGAAAACAUUAGGGCAAAUCUUCGUCAAUAUGGUUUAGAGAAGUAUUACCUUGAUGUCCUGGUUUCAGAUGCAUCUAAACCUUCUUGGAGGAAGGGCACAUACUUUGAUGCAAUCAUCACUGAUCCUCCAUAUGGUAUUAGAGAGUCUACAAGAAGAACAGGUUCACAAAAGGAAAUACCAAAGGGGAUAGAAAAAUGUCCAGAAAGCCACGUUCCUGUUUCCUUGAGUUAUCAUCUGAGUGAUAUGUUUUUUGACCUGUUAAACUUUGCAGCUGAGACCCUCGUAUUAGGUGGAAGACUAGUCUAUUGGUUACCAGUGUACACACCAGAAUACACUGAAGAGAUGGUACCCUGGCACCCUUGCUUGAAACUCAUCAGCAACUGUGAGCAGAAGCUUUCCGGUCGCACAUCAAGGCGCUUGAUAACGAUGGAAAAGGUGAAGGGAUUUGAGAGAACUUGCAUGUGGGAGAAACGAUGACCCAACCCAUUCCAGCAUCACGUGUUUGGUUCUGUAGUGAUCACGUGUUUGGUUCUGUAGUGAUCAGUGCAUAUUGCUCUGUGAACACCAGAGAGCGCCUACCUGAGGACAUGGUGCUUGAGUCAAGAGACCAACAUUUUCAGCAAAGAAUAAUUUGCAAAUGGACAUAAAUGACAAUGAUACACUUUACAGUCACUAAGGUAAAUAUGUAUUUGUAUAUUUCCACACUAUUCUUCUAAAAAGGAAAUGGUGUGAAUAAAUGCCAGUGCCCUCUGAAGGAAAAUGGCCAUCAUGUUGCUGCUCUGUAACUCUAGGUGUUUACAGCAAUCAGGACUUAGAGACGGUGAGGGAAAUAGAGCGCUCCUGACAGUCGGAUGCAUGAUGGUCAGCUCUGCUUUAAACUAUCUUUAUCCACAGCGGGAAAUACUAUACAGAAGGAUUUAUCUGCUUCAGCCAGCAGAGGGCACUGUACACAUAAAAGUACACUACCAAUUGUAAAGCUUCCUUUGAUUUUUUUUGGCAAGUGUGUUAAAAUUCCUCGAGUGGUUUAUGUUUAGAAUUAGCAGUACUGAUAGGACAGGAAAUUGGCUGGGUGGGACAGUGGUUAAAGGGGUUCUGUCUAAAAGUUUAGAUCUGAAAUAUGUGCUACCAAAUAUGUUGCUGUUCCGUGAAGAAUGUCCUCUAAAUGUCAAACUCCAUUUUGAACGACCCACUAAUCUACCAUGUGGGAAGUUAACUCUUUAACCAUUGUUUUGAUGUAAUUUCUACUUAAAAAAAAAAACAAACAACUGUGAUGGAAAACGCAUGAGCUUUGAAGUCUGAUCUAGUCUACAAUUCUGGAAAUACUGCUUACUAGAUGUGUGACUUGUGGCAGAUUAUUUAGACUCUUUUAGUCUCUUUCCAUAUCUGCAAAAUUUAGAUAAUAAUCUGUGAAAAGAUGCAGAAAAUUAAAUAAUUCACUUAUGUAAAACACAUAGUUGCAAAUACGUAUCAGUUGCUUUCUUGAAUCAGAACUUGUAUGUUUCUUGUCAUAUUUACAAUUGCUGUUUGUCUUACAAAGUUAAGUGAUAGGUCUGAAAGCUGUGUAUUUCCAUUAUGUAGCCAUCUGUAGCUAGCACAGAUUUUCCUACAGAAAUUCUUGAUUUCUGGUUAUAAAAAUGAUAAACAGUAGAUAGUGUAAUCAACAAUCUUAAUAUUUUAUUCAUAUUUCCUUAAGUACUGCCAUGUGCCAAAAUUUAACCAGUAGUUAUGAAAUUUGGGAAAAGUGGUCUGUAAUCUUUCAUUGCCAUAGUUUUCUUUCUUGGCAUUUCCUAAUUCUUUGUGUAUUUUUAUUUUCCAUGAAGUAUUUCUUGCUUACUAAAGAUUGGCAGAACUCAGGUUUCAUGAUACAUAGAUGAUAUCAUGACUGAUAGUGAUAGACAGAUUUGGAAGUGUUAGAGAAACCAGAAAUCAAACAUUGGGGCAAGAUUGAGUUAGUGAGGGAUAUCAAGCAUUGUGUUGCUUGAGGAUACUCUUCUCCUUUUAAGUAAACCCUUGGCAUUUGAGAUACUGAGUUGAAAAAAAAAUCUGCAGAUAUUCUUGGUUGAGAUGGGCAGGGAAUGUGAAUAGAGAAGAGCUAUCAAAAGGUGAUGAAAAAUAUGUAGAGUUGAAUAUCAUCAUCUCAAGUGUGAGCCCUGGUAAACUAAACUAAAGAUAGGAUGAAAGAGAGAGGGAAAAGAGAAAAAAAGAGCGAGCUUGCCGUUUUAUUCAGCAUCACGUUAACAUAAGUUCUGAAUGCUGCAAAUGGUAUUUUUCAUAAGGACCAGAGUAUAUGUUAAAUGUGUAUUGUUCAUAGGUAAUGAUAUUUACAUAUAUGAUAUGUAUGUGAUAAUAUGUGGACCAUAAAUGUACUGAAUGUUUUAUGUGGAACAUUUUAUGAACCAUAUCUUUUCCACCUAGAUGAAAAUGGUAGCCAAAGUCUCUGGAGUGUCUGGCUUAUCCCGAAGCAGGACUUAACGCUGCUAGUAAGAGAACGGCUCUUGCCAGGUCCCUGGCUGCACAAGGGAUUUGGAGCUUUUGGAUUCUCCAGGAGUUUUUGUUAUGAAUGUCUUAUUUCACAGUUAGGGGGCAAUCAGUCUUAUAGAAGGAGGCGUUCCACUAUAGGACCCAAACACAUACCUCACAUUGAUUCUUCUCUACUCCCUGGGAGAUAAAUAGCAUUUCCACCAGCCCCCAGAGGUUGCAUUUCGAAGGUUAAUAGUCUUUCCCCACUUUUCCUGUAGCAUGUAUUUCUCUGUCACUGGGUCUCUGUAGCACUGAAUAUAUGGUCUUUUAGGGGCUUAUUUUGCUUUUACUACUAUAUGUUCUGAGCGAAUCUUGAAGUCUAAACUAGUUAGAUAAAGAAUGCCAUAGGUAGUAUAUGUUUUCUUGAUAAACAUUAAUUAGCAUAGGUUUUAAUCAUUACUUUUGGGUUUUCCAGGUUUCUGCUGUUCAUUCUCAGUCUCUGCCUCUGGUCUUUAUAGUCUCUUCUUCAUCCUCAGUUUGUCCUAUGUAUAUCCUUUAAGUCAAAGACAAGCUAUUUGGUUAAGCUCCCACUUUUGUCUAUGAGGAUACCUACCUUCUAUUGUGCUUCAGCUUUUCUCUCCUGCUUCCCCCAGUGAGCUGCAUAAUUGGCAGUUUAGGUGGGUUAGGCACACAAGUAACUGAGCCUGAGUCAGUCCCCGGCCCAUCCUGGUCUUCAGCUGUCUUACCAUGCCUCUACCUUUUAAUCUAGCACUCUGGGAUCACACAUUUCUGUCCUGUCAUUCCACUGCAGCCCCAGGACAUUCACUGAAGUAGUCUGCAGUGCAUUUUGAGAUGUAGAGGUGCUCUUGCAUGGCUUAGAGGAGUCACAGGGAGAAGAGAGGACAGAAGGCAAAGCUGGGAAGGAUCUCAUUGCCUGACAGUGUUCUGAUCCCUCUUGUACAGAAGAGGAAAGUGAAAAGACAUUCAGCAAACUGAUGUGCAAUUGAAUCUCACUCCCAAAUGUUAAGGGAAAAGCCUCAGAAUUGGGGAAAGUUUGAACCCGUUUGGAUUUUAGCCAGAAUGCUGGAAUAUUAGAUUUGCAUUUUAAUAAGUUGCAUUUGAUCCCAUUAUGGAGAAUAGAGAGGGAGCCACAAAGGCAAGGCAACUGGCAGUUUAGGAAAAAAGCAAGGAGAGAUGAGGAAGGCUUAAACUAUAAUAGUGGAGUUACGGGUGAAGAGGAGGAGUGGAUUUGAGAAAUUUAGGAUGCAGAAUCUAAGAUUUUAGGACUGACUUAAUGUGAGAAGAAAAGGGAGAGCGAUUUGACCCAGGUUUCUGAUUUUGAUGACUGGGUGGAGAAUGAUGCAAAGAGCUGUGAGAAGUAAUGUAGCAGGAGAGAUGUCACAUCUGGACAUACCUUUACAUAUAACCAAGUAAAGGUAUUUCUGCCAGGAUUAAGGUAAUGUAGUUCAGAAAGUAGGCAAGUUUUCUAGUGAUCUUAUUUGAUAUAAGGACAGAAUGUAGAACGCCUGGAAGAGCAGAUGAUGGCAAAUCCCUUCCUUUCCUAUGACUCUUCAGUCAGACUUCUGAUAAAAGUUGCCAUGCACAAGGCAAGGCUAAAUGCUGGACCAUCAUCCUGUAUUGCUGCUCUCCCAGGCCCAGUCUGGAGAUGUGGACAUUGAGUCCUCCUGUCCAGUCGACAGUACUGCUAGGGUUAUGGUAUCCCUCAGGCAUCCUGUGGCUCCUUAUAUCUCCUUCUAGUAUGAAAAUUUUGUAUCAUUGAAAUAAUCCUCUUAGUUACUAGACCAAAGUUAAUAGCAUUUCUGAUCCAGGUCUCUUCCUUUCUGGGGAGCCUUUGUUCAUCACAUGUUUAUUCCCUGAGAUACUCCUUCUUCUUGAGUUGAGGCAAGAGUUAGCUCUUUUGGGGAAAAAAACCUCAUUAUGUUAUAGUUAAAGGGUGUAGUCCCUGGGUCUGGUAGACCUGUGUUCAAAUCCUAGCUCUGUCACUUACCAGCUGUAUUAUCUUGUGCUUGUACUCUUAAAUAACUCCUCAUCUGUAGAUGGUAAUAAGAGUGUACUUAUCUCUUAGAGCUGAUGAGUUUGUAUUAGAUAGUGCAUGUAAAGCAUUUAGGAUGGUUUUUGGCCCAUAAUAAAUACCCCAUAAAUACUACCUUUCAUUUGGUAUUCUUUAACUUUUUAUCUUUUGGGGAUUAUAUAGCUUGAAGUUAGUAACCAUUGGCAUGCUUUCACGUGCUUGCAAGAAUUUGGAACUGUAGUAUACUUAGUGCCAUAAAAUUUAAAUAGCCACUUUUUUUCUUUUUAAAUGAAUCAGGAAAUCUGGGCAUGUUUAAUAAUUUCUUUUUUUGUGUAAUUUAAAAAAAACAUUCUGGGGCAAAAUAGUUUCUGAAUAAACAAAUCAGCCAACAUAAUUUUAUUUUGGCUAAACCUGGGCUUUUAUUAAUAUUAGAUAUGAGGGAGAGAAUGAAAGUAUUCAUCUCAUACAGGAAUGAGGAAAAAUACAAAACUAUUUUGAGGAUUGUUAUAUUCCAGAUAUAUUUGUAGAUAUCAUUUUGAUACUGAAACCGAUAAAUAAUUAGGCUUCAUAUUUUCUAAUUAUGUCUCCCGUCUAUUCUCAGAAUCACAUUAAUCCCUGUACAUUUGAAUAUGAAUUUACAGAAAUGCAUGGGAAAUGAGAUUUUAUUUCUAAUUAGAUUUUUUUUCACAGUUUAAGGUGGCUAGUGAAAUUGGCUGAGAAGCUGAUGUUUCAAUGUUGUCUGUCAGUCUUCUUAUCCUCAAUUUUCUAAGCUGAAACAUGACAUUUUAGCCCAGGUUAAUAUUUCCAGUUUCCAAAUGUCAGUCUAAGCACUAGUCCUCACCUGUCUCUGAAGUCUAAAAGUGUGAAAAUCACUUGUUUAUCCUGUAUCUUCAUCUACUGAGGUUACUUAAAGUUGCCAGGAAUAGUUUAUUUCAUUAACUGAACGUGCAUGUACUCCCAAACAGUUUUACUGAUCUGUAUGACAUCAUACAAAUGUAAUAAUUUGUUGUUGUACACCAUUGGAGUAGAAGCUUCCUUGCUUGAUAAUUCUUAUAGUCAAAGACGGUUUCAGUUUGUGCUGAACUAGGAAUCGGAAGAUGCAGGUGGUUGUCCCAACUCGAGUUGCCUGGAUGAUUCUCUUUGCAUUCCCUGGGUCUCUGUUUUCCCAGUAAAAGUUUUUGUCUUCUCUGUCCAGAGGACUGUUGUGUGGAUCAGAUGAGGUGAAGUAAGUGAAAACACUUUGGAUACCCAAGCAUGAUACAGAUAUAAAGUGGUGGUGUAUUUCUUGUUCAUGUAAUAAAGGAAGACAACUGUGUACCAGAGAGUGAGAUUUUGCUUAAAGUAAAUGACUGCUUUGGUUGCAGGCUAACGAAAGAAACAACUCAAACAUCUUUAUUUUCUGUAUUUUCCAACCAACCAGAACCGGGACCAGUAUUCACAUCUGCUGAGUGAUCACUUUCUGCCGUACCAAGGUCAUAAUUCCUUCCGUGAGAAAUAUUUCAGUGGGGUAACAAAAA
Molecule: RNA transcript, 6850 nt
Organism: Aethalodelphis obliquidens (Pacific white-sided dolphin)
Lineage: Eukaryota; Metazoa; Chordata; Mammalia; Artiodactyla; Delphinidae
Gene: TRMT11
Gene name: tRNA methyltransferase 11
Exons: 14
Source: RefSeq, a predicted model, not a curated record